CAGGGAUUGCCCUAGUAACGGCGAGUGAAGCGGCAACAGCUUCAAAUUUUGAAAUCUGGCUUCGGCCCGAGUUGUAAUUUGCAGAGGAAGCUUUAGGCGCGGCACCAACUGAGUCCCCUGGAACGGGGCGCCACAGAGGGUGAGAGCCCCGUAUAGUUGGACGCCUAGCCUGUGUAAAGCUCCUUCGACGAGUCGAGUAGUUUGGGAAUGCUGCUCAAAAUGGGAGGUAAAUUUCUUCUAAAGCUAAAUACCGGCCAGAGACCGAUAGCGCACAAGUAGAGUGAUCGAAAGAUGAAAAGCACUUUGAAAAGAGGGUUAAAUAGCACGUGAAAUUGUUGAAAGGGAAGCGCUUGUGACCAGACUUGCGCCCGGCUGAUCAUCCGGUGUUCUCACCGGUGCACUCUGCCGGGCUCAGGCCAGCAUCGGUUCUCGCGGGGGGAUAAAGGCCCUGGGAACGUAGCUCCUCCGGGAGUGUUAUAGCCCAGGGUGUAAUGCCCUCGCGGGGACCGAGGUUCGCGCAUCUGCAAGGAUGCUGGCGUAAUG
This 543-nucleotide ribosomal RNA is filed under the name Humicola olivacea. Its description in RNAcentral is "eukaryotic LSU rRNA". It matches the Rfam family "Eukaryotic large subunit ribosomal RNA", at positions 69 to 636 of the family's 3401-position model. Lineage: Eukaryota; Fungi; Ascomycota; Sordariomycetes; Sordariales; Chaetomiaceae. The record is from RNAcentral.